RNAcentral lists this ribosomal RNA (1187 nucleotides) under Enterococcus sp. RNAcentral's name for it is "bacterial SSU rRNA". It matches the Rfam family "Bacterial small subunit ribosomal RNA", at positions 38 to 1201 of the family's 1533-position model. Lineage: Bacteria; Bacillati; Bacillota; Bacilli; Lactobacillales; Enterococcaceae. The record is from RNAcentral.
UGCGGUGCUAAUACAUGCAGUCGAACGCUUCUUUUUCCACCGGAGCUUGCUCCACCGGAAAAAGAGGAGUGGCGAACGGGUGAGUAACACGUGGGUAACCUGCCCAUCAGAAGGGGAUAACACUUGGAAACAGGUGCUAAUACCGUAUAACAAUCGAAACCGCAUGGUUUUGAUUUGAAAGGCGCUUUCGGGUGUCGCUGAUGGAUGGACCCGCGGUGCAUUAGCUAGUUGGUGAGGUAACGGCUCACCAAGGCCACGAUGCAUAGCCGACCUGAGAGGGUGAUCGGCCACAUUGGGACUGAGACACGGCCCAAACUCCUACGGGAGGCAGCAGUAGGGAAUCUUCGGCAAUGGACGAAAGUCUGACCGAGCAACGCCGCGUGAGUGAAGAAGGUUUUCGGAUCGUAAAACUCUGUUGUUAGAGAAGAACAAGGAUGAGAGUAACUGUUCAUCCCUUGACGGUAUCUAACCAGAAAGCCACGGCUAACUACGUGCCAGCAGCCGCGGUAAUACGUAGGUGGCAAGCGUUGUCCGGAUUUAUUGGGCGUAAAGCGAGCGCAGGCGGUUUCUUAAGUCUGAUGUGAAAGCCCCCGGCUCAACCGGGGAGGGUCAUUGGAAACUGGGAGACUUGAGUGCAGAAGAGGAGAGUGGAAUUCCAUGUGUAGCGGUGAAAUGCGUAGAUAUAUGGAGGAACACCAGUGGCGAAGGCGGCUCUCUGGUCUGUAACUGACGCUGAGGCUCGAAAGCGUGGGGAGCAAACAGGAUUAGAUACCCUGGUAGUCCACGCCGUAAACGAUGAGUGCUAAGUGUUGGAGGGUUUCCGCCCUUCAGUGCUGCAGCUAACGCAUUAAGCACUCCGCCUGGGGAGUACGACCGCAAGGUUGAAACUCAAAGGAAUUGACGGGGGCCCGCACAAGCGGUGGAGCAUGUGGUUUAAUUCGAAGCAACGCGAAGAACCUUACCAGGUCUUGACAUCCUUUGACCACUCUAGAGAUAGAGCUUCCCCUUCGGGGGCAAAGUGACAGGUGGUGCAUGGUUGUCGUCAGCUCGUGUCGUGAGAUGUUGGGUUAAGUCCCGCAACGAGCGCAACCCUUAUUGUUAGUUGCCAUCAUUCAGUUGGGCACUCUAGCAAGACUGCCGGUGACAAACCGGAGGAAGGUGGGGAUGACGUCAAAUCAUCAUGCCCC